CCUACGGGAGGCUGCAGUCGAGAAUCAUUCACAAUGGGGGAAACCCUGAUGGUGCGACGCCGCGUGGGGGAAUGAAGUUCUUCGGAUUGUAAACCCCUGUCAUGUGGGAGCAAAUUAAAAAGAUAGUACCACAAGAGGAAGAGACGGCUAACUCUGUGCCAGCAGCCGCGGUAAUACAGAGGUCUCAAGCGUUGUUCGGAAUCACUGGGCGUAAAGCGUGCGUAGGCUGUUUCGUAAGUCGUGUGUGAAAGGCGCGGGCUCAACCCGCGGACGGCACAUGAUACUGCGAGACUAGAGUAAGGGAGGGGUAACCGGAAUUCUCGGUGUAGCAGUGAAAUGCGUAGAUAUCGAGAGGAACACUCGUGGCGAAGGCGGGUUCCUGGACAUUAACUGACGCUGAGGCACGAAGGCCAGGGGAGCGAAAGGGAUUAGAUACCCGUGUAGUC
RNAcentral lists this ribosomal RNA (446 nucleotides) under uncultured bacterium. Its description in RNAcentral is "partial 16S ribosomal RNA". It matches the Rfam family "Bacterial small subunit ribosomal RNA", at positions 338 to 795 of the family's 1533-position model. The record is from RNAcentral.